ACUGCGCACCUCUGGGAGUGGUGGGCCAGGCGAAGGUGCCAUAGCGCGCGGCCCAGGCGCUGCUGCUGCAGCAGGAGCUGGCCCGGGGGCUCCCCGGCGCCGCCGUUUACAGGCGAGCGCAGGCCCAUGUUCUCGAAGUAGUGAGCCAGGAAGGCGAUCGGCUCCUCGGGCCGCGCCUCCAGCACCUUCAGCAGGGCCGCACGUAGCAUUUCCGUCACGCCGACCUGCCGCAGGAAGUCCUCCUCGCUCUCGGCCGCCCCCGCCGCCCGGGAUACCGACUGGCGGCCGCUGUCCGUGAAACCGGCCGGCGGUGGUACCGCUUGCCGCCGCUUCUCCACUGCCGCCAUCUUCGCUGAGGGCAGCGGGACCGGAAGCACCGCCAUAUUCCACUGUGCGCUAGAGCCCCCCCAAGGCGGCCAUCUUGAUUAAGGGCAGAGGGCACCGGUAUCCCGCUGGGAGACUUUGGGAAGUGACAAGGCCCUUCCCACCCUCCCUGCCCCCAGGGACCAGAACUCACAGCCUGUUGGGAUCACUUCUCCCUGCGUGGGCCCAGCCUGGGAGAUCUCAGGGCGGCGAGUCCUGGUGGAGCCUGGGCUCCUGGGGGUCUGCCUGGAGCCAGUUUCGCUGCGGGUCAGGGGGCCGCGCGGAGCCCCGCAACUUCCCCUCUCAGCCCCUGCCUCCUCCGAGCCCCCUCCUCUGGCAGGAUCACCAAUCACCCCCUAUCUCGGAGCCCCUUAACUCUGAGCACCCCUCGUCUCUCCCGCGCCCCCUCCGAGCCCCUCCUCUCUCCUGCGCCCCCUCUUAACUCCCUCCUCUCUCCCGCGUCCCCUCCCC
This 834-nucleotide long non-coding RNA is filed under the name Homo sapiens (human). RNAcentral describes it as "non-protein coding lnc-ODF3L2-2:6". Lineage: Eukaryota; Metazoa; Chordata; Mammalia; Primates; Hominidae. The record is from RNAcentral.